RNAcentral lists this ribosomal RNA (1815 nucleotides) under marine metagenome. Its description in RNAcentral is "bacterial LSU rRNA". It matches the Rfam family "Bacterial large subunit ribosomal RNA", at positions 1 to 1977 of the family's 2925-position model. The record is from RNAcentral.
UCAAGCGUUUAAGGGCGUGUAGUGGAUGCCUUGGCACUGAAAGCCGAUGAAGGACGUGAUAUACUGCGAUAAGUUUCGGGGAGCUGUAUGUAAGUUUUGAUCCGAAAAUUUCCGAAUGGGGAAACCCACCACUUUAUGUGGUACUUUAAACUGAAUACAUAGGUUUAAAGAGACAACCUGGAGAACUGAAACAUCUAAGUAACCAGAGGAAAAGAAAUCAAUUGAGAUUCCGUUAGUAGUGGCGAGCGAACGCGGACUAGGCCAGUAGUUUUGUUAAAAAAAUUUGAAUAGUUUGGAAAUGCUAACCAUAGAGGGUGAUAGUCCCGUAUGAGUAAUGUUUAACAAAAUUCUUGAGUAAAGCGGGACACGUGAAAUCCUGCUCGAAUAUAGGGGGACCACCCUCUAAGCCUAAAUACUCUUCAGUGACCGAUAGUGAACUAGUACCGUGAGGGAAAGGUGAAAAGAACCCCUAUUAGGGGAGUGAAAUAGAACCUGAAACUGCAUGCCUACAAUCAGUCGAAGCUCUUUUUAGAGUGACGGCGUACCUUUUGUAUAAUGGGUCAGUGACUUAAUUUAUAAAGCAAGCUUAAGCCAUCUAGGUGUAGGCGUAGCGAAAGCAAGUCUUAAUAGGGCGAUUAGUUUUAUGAAUUAGACCCGAAAACGAAUGAGCUUACCAUGAGCAGGUUGAAAGUUGGGUAACACCAACCGGAGGACCGAACCAGUUGACGUUGAAAAGUCUUUGGAUGACUUGUGGUAAGGGGUGAAAGGCCAACCAAAUUCGUAGAUAGCUGGUUUUCCGCGAAAACUAUUUAGGUAGUGCGAUGAAUAAAUAGACGUUUGGAGGUAGAGCACUAAAUGGGCUAGGGGGAAGAGAUUCUUACCAAACCUAAUAAAACUCCGAAUGCCAAGCGUUGUUCUUCAUCAGACAGACUGUGGGUGCUAAGGUCCAUGGUCGAGAGGGAAAGAGCCCAGACCACCAGAUAAGGUCCCCAAAUUAUGAUUAAGUGUGAAAGGAUGUGGAAAUUCCUUAACAGCCGGGAGGUUGGCUUAGAAGCAGCCAUCCUUUAAAGAUAGCGUAACAGCUCACCGGUCUAAUAGAGUUUCUGCGCCGAAGAUGUAACGGGGCUAAAAUCAUAUACCGAAUCUGUGGGUUUAUAAAAUUUUCGAAUUUUAUAAGCGGUAGCGGAACGUUCUGUAAGCCUGUGAAGGAGUACCCGUGAGGGACUCUGGAGGUAUCAGAAGUGCGAAUGCUGACAUAAGUAACGAUAAAAGAAGUGAAAAACUUCUUCGCCGAAAAUCCAAGGGUUUCUGCGCAAGGUUAAUCCGCGCAGAGUUAGUCGGCACCUAAGGCGAGGGCGAAAGCCGUAGUCGAUGGAAAUAAGGUUAAUAUUCCUUAACCAGAUGGUAGUGACGGAUCUUGUAAGUUGUGAGUUCUUAAUGGAUUGAACUUGCCGCGAAAAGGUUCCAAGAAAUAGCUCCAUCAUUAGACCGUACCCUAAACCGACACAGGUGGAUUAAUAGAGUAUAUUUAGGCGCUUGAGAGAAUGAUGUUGAAGGAACUCGGCAAAAUGCUUCCGUAACUUCGGGAUAAGGAAGACCUGUUUUUAGGCAACUAGAGAUGGGUGGCACAAGCCAGGGAGAAGCGACUGUUUAUCAAAAACACAGGGCUCUGCUAACACGUAAGUGGAUGUAUAGGGUCUGACGCCUGCCCGGUGCUGGAAGGUUAAUGCGGUUGGUGCAAGCUAACUUCUGAAGCCCCAGUAAACGGCGGCCGUAACUAUAACGGUCCUAAGGUAGCGAAAUUCCUUGUCGGGU